CUAGUCCUACGGGACGCAGCAGUGGGGAAUAUUGGGCAAUGGGCGCAAGCCUGACCCAGCAACGCCGCGUGAAGGAAGAAGGCUUUCGGGUUGUAAACUUCUUUUCUCAGGGACGAAGAAAGUGACGGUACCUGAGGAAUAAGCCACGGCUAACUACGUGCCAGCAGCCGCGGUAAUACGUAGGUGGCAAGCGUUAUCCGGAUUUAUUGGGUGUAAAGGGCGUGUAGGCG
Molecule: ribosomal RNA, 230 nt
Filed under: uncultured bacterium
Lineage: Bacteria
Description: partial 16S ribosomal RNA
Rfam family: Bacterial small subunit ribosomal RNA
Source: RNAcentral